RNAcentral lists this ribosomal RNA (316 nucleotides) under uncultured bacterium. RNAcentral's name for it is "bacterial SSU rRNA". It matches the Rfam family "Bacterial small subunit ribosomal RNA", at positions 28 to 351 of the family's 1533-position model. The record is from RNAcentral.
GAUGAACGCUAGCGACAGGCCUAACACAUGCAAGUCGAGGGGUAUAGUAGCAAUACUAGAGACCGGCGCACGGGUGCGUAACGCGUAUGUAACCUGCCUCACACUGGGGGAUAGCCUUCCGAAAGGGAGAUUAAUACCGCAUAAUAAUAUUGUCCUGCCUGGGAUGAUAUUUAAAGCUUCGGUGGUGUGAGAUGGACAUGCGUAUGAUUAGCUAGUUGGGGGUAACGCCCACCAAGGCGACGAUCAUUAGGGGGUUCUGAGAGGAAGAUCCCCCACACUGGUACUGAGACACGGACCAGACUCCUACGGGAGGCUG